AGAUUGAACGCUAGCGGGAUGCUUUACACAUGCAAGUCGAACGGCAGCGCGGACUUCGGUCUGGCGGCGAGUGGCGAACGGGUGAGUAAUAUAUCGGAACGUGCCCAGUAGCGGGGGAUAACUACGCGAAAGCGUGGCUAAUACCGCAUACGCCCUACGGGGGAAAGGGGGGGAUCGCAAGACCUCUCACUAUUGGAGCGGCCGAUAUCAGAUUAGCUAGUUGGUGAGGUAAAGGCUCACCAAGGCGACGAUCUGUAGCUGGUUUGAGAGGACGACCAGCCACACUGGGACUGAGACACGGCCCAGACUCCUACGGAGGCAGCAGUGGGGAAUUUUGGACAAUGGGGGAAACCUGAUCCAGCCAUCCCGCGUGUGCGAUGAAAGGCCUGGUUGUAACGUUAGUCGUU
This 407-nucleotide ribosomal RNA is filed under the name uncultured soil bacterium. Its description in RNAcentral is "bacterial SSU rRNA". It matches the Rfam family "Bacterial small subunit ribosomal RNA", at positions 26 to 439 of the family's 1533-position model. The record is from RNAcentral.